RNAcentral lists this transfer RNA (57 nucleotides) under Heterocephalus glaber (naked mole-rat). It matches the Rfam family "tRNA", at positions 8 to 63 of the family's 71-position model. Rfam says of the family: Transfer RNA (tRNA) molecules are approximately 80 nucleotides in length. Their secondary structure includes four short double-helical elements and three loops (D, anti-codon, and T loops). Lineage: Eukaryota; Metazoa; Chordata; Mammalia; Rodentia; Bathyergidae. The record is from Rfam by way of RNAcentral.
UAGCCCAGUGGUGGAGCACUUGGCUUGCAAGCAAAAGGUCCCAGGUUCAAUCCCUGG